This is a long non-coding RNA of Bombyx mori (domestic silkworm), 457 nucleotides long. RefSeq lists it as uncharacterized. The transcript is spliced from 2 exons. Lineage: Eukaryota; Metazoa; Arthropoda; Insecta; Lepidoptera; Bombycidae. The record is from RefSeq and is a predicted model, not a curated record.
GAGAGGAGAUAGGGUGAUUUUUUAAGAAUUAAGUUUUUCAGGUUGGCAGCACUGGUUGGUAAUGGCGUCCAAACGUCAUCUGUCAAAAGUGAAAAGUGUUCAGUAUACUCUGCAAUUUCAUCAUGAAAAGACUAACAAAAGAGCUUGAAUGGAAAGACUCACAAACGAGUAACGACUGCAAAUUGUUGAAAUUUACUGUAAAAAUUCGUGCUCUGUGAAAAAUGUGCUAUGUUUCAUCAUUUUUUGUCAGCUCGUGAAACAAUGGACAUGUUGAAGGAUGAAUUUGGAUAACAUUACACGUGUAAUUUGUGGAAUACAGGCUGAAAUGCGCGAAAAAUUCCGAAUGGACCAUUUGAAACGAAGCCGCGGACAACAUUUACAUGAAGUUAUCUUUAAAACGUUAAUAGCAAAGGUCAAUUUAUCGAUUCCAAUAAAAAUUUUGAUUAAAUGAUGCAAA